RNAcentral lists this ribosomal RNA (628 nucleotides) under Staphylococcus pseudintermedius. Its description in RNAcentral is "partial 23S ribosomal RNA". It matches the Rfam family "Bacterial large subunit ribosomal RNA", at positions 2194 to 2821 of the family's 2925-position model. The record is from RNAcentral. Lineage: Bacteria; Bacillati; Bacillota; Bacilli; Caryophanales; Staphylococcaceae.
GGGAUACUACCCUAAUUGUAUUGGAUUUCUAACCCGCAGCACUUAUCGUGCUGGGAGACAGUGUCAGGCGGGCAGUUUGACUGGGGCGGUCGCCUCCUAAAGAGUAACGGAGGCGCUCAAAGGUUCCCUCAGAAUGGUUGGAAAUCAUUCAUAGAGUGUAAAGGCAUAAGGGAGCUUGACUGCGAGACCUACAAGUCGAGCAGGGUCGAAAGACGGACUUAGUGAUCCGGUGGUUCCGCAUGGAAGGGCCAUCGCUCAACGGAUAAAAGCUACCCCGGGGAUAACAGGCUUAUCUCCCCCAAGAGUUCACAUCGACGGGGAGGUUUGGCACCUCGAUGUCGGCUCAUCGCAUCCUGGGGCUGUAGUCGGUCCCAAGGGUUGGGCUGUUCGCCCAUUAAAGCGGUACGCGAGCUGGGUUCAGAACGUCGUGAGACAGUUCGGUCCCUAUCCGUCGUGGGCGUAGGAAAUUUGAGAGGAGCUGUCCUUAGUACGAGAGGACCGGGAUGGACAUACCUCUGGUGUACCAGUUGUCGUGCCAACGGCAUAGCUGGGUAGCUAUGUAUGGACGGGAUAAGUGCUGAAAGCAUCUAAGCAUGAAGCCCCCCUCGAGAUGAGAUUUCCCAACUUC